GAUGAACGCUGGCGGCGUGCCUAAUACAUGCAAGUCGAGCGAACAGACUAGGAGCUUGCUCCUCUGACGUUAGCGGCGGACGGGUGAGUAACACGUGGAUAACCUACCUAUAAGACUGGGAUAACUUCGGGAAACCGGAGCUAAUACCGGAUAAUAUAUUGAACCACAUGGUUCAAGAGUGAAAGACGGUAUUGCUGUCCCUUAUAGAUGGAUCCGCGCCGAAUUAGCUAGUUGGUAAGGUAACGGCUUACCAGGGCAACCAUUGUUAACCGACCUGAGGGUGUGAUCGGCCACAGUGGAAGUGAGACACGGUCCAGACUCCUACGGGGGGCAGCAGUAGGAAAUCUGCCGCAAGGGGCAAAAGCCUGCCGGAGCAACGCCGCGGGAGUGAUGAAGUUCUUCGGAUCGUAAAACUCUGUUAUUAGGAAAGAACAAAUGUGUAAGUAACGAUGAACGUCUGAACGGUACCAAAUCGGAAGGCCACGGCAACUACGUG
This 496-nucleotide ribosomal RNA is filed under the name uncultured bacterium. RNAcentral's name for it is "partial 16S ribosomal RNA". It matches the Rfam family "Bacterial small subunit ribosomal RNA", at positions 28 to 507 of the family's 1533-position model. The record is from RNAcentral.